This 20-nucleotide non-coding RNA is filed under the name Arabidopsis thaliana (thale cress). The record is from RNAcentral. RNAcentral also lists the same sequence under 1 other name. Lineage: Eukaryota; Viridiplantae; Streptophyta; Magnoliopsida; Brassicales; Brassicaceae.
CGGCGGGAGUAACUAUGACU